CCUUUAUUCUAGUCUCCUCCAUCAAUCUCCUCCUCUCCUCUCUUCUAGUCUCCUCCAUCAGUAUCCUCCUCUCCUCUCUUCUAGUCUCCUCCAUCAGUCUCCUCCUCUCCUCUCUUCUAGUCUCAUCCAUCAGGCUCCUCCUCUCCUUUAUUCUAGUCUCCUCCAUCAAUCUCCUACUCUCCUCUCUUCUAGUCUCCUCCAUCAGGCUCCUUCUCUUCUGUCUUCUAGUCUCCUUAAUCAGUCUCCUCUCCUUUAUUCUGGUCUCGUCCAUCAGGCUCCUCCUCUCCUUUAUUCUAGUCUCCUCCAUCAGGCUCCUCCUCUCCUUUAUUCUAGUCUCCUCCAUCAGGCUCCUUCUCUCCUUUAUUCUAGUCUCCUCCAUCAGGCUCCUCCUCUCCUCUCGUCUAGUCUCCUCCACCAGGCUCCUCGUCUUGUGGCUUCUAGUCUCCUUCAUCAGACUCCUCCCAUCCUUUAUUCUAGUCUCCUCCAUCAGUCGCGUCCUCUCUACUAGACUCCUCCAUCAAUCUCCUCCUUCUCUUCUAGUCUCCUUCAUCACACUCCUCCUCUCCUUUAUACUAUUCUCCUCCAUACGUCUCCUCUCCUGUCUUCUAGUCUCCUUCAUCAUUCUCCUCUCCUUUAUUCUAGUGUCCUUCAUCAGCCUCCUCCUCUCCUUGAUUCUAGUCUCUUCAAUCAGUCUCCCCUACUCCUUUAUUCUAC
Oncorhynchus tshawytscha (Chinook salmon) is the source of this 714-nucleotide long non-coding RNA. The record is from Ensembl. NCBI's taxonomy places the organism in Eukaryota, Metazoa, Chordata, Actinopteri, Salmoniformes, Salmonidae.